RNAcentral lists this long non-coding RNA (456 nucleotides) under Malus domestica (apple). RNAcentral describes it as "long non-coding RNA (MDOM_LNC003957)". The record is from RNAcentral. Lineage: Eukaryota; Viridiplantae; Streptophyta; Magnoliopsida; Rosales; Rosaceae.
AGGAAGGCCUCGUGUUCCCUCUUCCGAAGACUCGUAUCUCCUCGACUAGCAAAAUGGAGGAUAAUGGUGUUAUAGUUUAGAAAAUUCUUAUGCAAUUUCUGAACAUUGACUUUUAAAGGCUUUUGACCUUCCUAGCUCAACGUCUCGACGGCUCGAUCGUCAAACAACUCUUUGAGGUCAAGGUUAGAGGGGCAUUCAAUAAGGGUAGCGUCGACCGGGAUGCCGAAAGGAGAAGUCCCAAUGAUAGCCGAGAUGUCGAGGAUGGUAGGAGUCAUAGGACCAAAUGGAAGGACCAAGGUGUUUGUGGCCGAGCACCAGAGGCUAAGAGCUGCCAUGAGGAGCUCUUUAUCCAUUGUAAUCUUCAUAGUCGAGAACUUGAUAGCGUCGUAAAUACCAAGAGUUUUCCACCCUUUGCCGAAGAACCUUUCCAUUUGAACUACCUAUGCCACACAGUUU